Molecule: ribosomal RNA, 465 nt
Filed under: uncultured bacterium
Lineage: Bacteria
Description: partial 16S ribosomal RNA
Rfam family: Bacterial small subunit ribosomal RNA
Source: RNAcentral
GACGAACGCUGGCGGCGUGCUUAACACAUGCAAGUCGAACGGAAAGGCCCCUUUGGGGGUCCUCGAGUGGCGAACGGGUGAGUAACACGUGGGUAACCUGCCCUUGCCUUCGGGAUAACUUCAGGAAACUGGGGCUAAUACCGGAUAGGAAUCCUUGCUGCAUGGUGGGGGUUGGAAAGCUUCGGCGGUUUUGGAUGGACUCGCGGCUUAUCAGCUUGUUGGUGGGGUAGUGGCUUACCAAGGCUUUGACGGGUAGCCGGCCUGAGAGGGCGACCGGCCACAUUGGGACUGAGAUACGGCCCAGACUCCUACGGGAGGCAGCAGUGGGGAAUAUUGCACAAUGGGCGGAAGCCUGAUGCAGCAACGCCGCGUGCGGGAUGACGGCCUUCGGGUUGUAAACCGCUUUCAGCAGGGGCGAAGCUUGUGGUGACGGUACCUGCAGAAGAAGCACCGGCUAACUACGUG